UUACGGUGACAUCAGUAUGAAACACCGGUUUCCGUACUAUCACCGAAGUUAGGCAACGUCGAGCCUGGUUAGUACCUAAAUGGGUGACCGCUUGGGAAUACCAAGAAAUGU
Molecule: non-coding RNA, 111 nt
Organism: Acanthosepion pharaonis
Lineage: Eukaryota; Metazoa; Mollusca; Cephalopoda; Sepiida; Sepiidae
Source: the annotation of a GenBank genome assembly